UACGGAGGAUCCAAGCGUUAUCCGGAAUCAUUGGGUUUAAAGGGUCCGUAGGCGGUUUAGUAAGUCAGUGGUGAAAGCCCAUCGCUCAACGGUGGAACGGCCAUUGAUACUGCUAGACUUGAAUUAUUAGGAAGUAACUAGAAUAUGUAGUGUAGCGGUGAAAUGCUUAGAGAUUACAUGGAAUACCAAUUGCGAAGGCAGGUUACUACUAAUUGAUUGACGCUGAUGGACGAAAGCGUGGGUAGCGAACAGG
RNAcentral lists this ribosomal RNA (253 nucleotides) under uncultured bacterium. Its description in RNAcentral is "partial 16S ribosomal RNA". It matches the Rfam family "Bacterial small subunit ribosomal RNA", at positions 524 to 776 of the family's 1533-position model. The record is from RNAcentral. RNAcentral also lists the same sequence under 1 other name.